Labrus mixtus (cuckoo wrasse) is the source of this 1577-nucleotide long non-coding RNA. RefSeq lists it as uncharacterized. Lineage: Eukaryota; Metazoa; Chordata; Actinopteri; Labriformes; Labridae. The record is from RefSeq and is a predicted model, not a curated record. The transcript has 5 exons.
AUUCUUAAGUUUAUACCCCAAACAAAGAGGAGGAGCAGGACUUUCUUAUUCAGGUGAAAUAUAAAAAUGCUCACUUUUGACCAGGCAUUGUCUUGGGACAUUCACACACACACACACACUCCUCAACUCGUCAAACGUCUGCUCAGUUGUGAUGAAGAUGGGACAACUCAAUGUUUUGGCUGUUAUGGCAGUACUCUUCUCCCUUUUCAUGGAAACUGAAGCAAGUAAGGCCAAAACUCAAUUUUCCCCUAAUUCUGUUCUGAAUGGUUGGUCAAGAAACUGGUUUGGGAAGAAUUUACAUUAAUUAGCUUCUUUUGUCCGAGUAACAAUGACCUCUUCUCUAGAAUUAAACUGUCUUUUGCAUUGCUUGGCCUGCAAACCUCUGAAUACCUUUGUAGGAUGAAAAUGUUUUUAGAUGGCCUCCUGAGUAAAGAAAUACUUUGUAAUAAAUGUUUAAAAGCACAUAAAGGUAUUUCAGGAAAAUAAUCCAAUGUGCAGUAAGGGCUACAUUAUAUAUUUUACAGUCAGUAUUUUCUCGGUGUAAAGGGUUAAAAUCUUUAUAUCAGGAGGAAGUCCUUUACCCCUUACUUAUUUGACCUCAUCUUGUGUUUCCUUUGCAGAUCCAUUUAUUUACAGUAAGUACAGACAAUUAUAUCUCCUAAUUCUUAAAAUCAAAUGCAGUGCAUCAUGUCACGUAUUGUGUGUUUAAGCCAACAUGUGUGUAACACAAUCAGCCACAGCAAAUGUGAUUGUUCAAAAAUAGUGUAGACAAACAUAUGCCUAUAAACAACAGAUUCAAAUGUUUAUGAUAACUUUCAUAAAUAAUUUUAGCAUGUGUUUGAAUUAAGUACUUUUUGUCUGCUUGUCAAAUGCAUCAUCUAAACAUCUGCCAUUAUCGCCUUACAGACUAUGAAAGGCUACGAAUCGGAGGCCUGGUCUGUUCCUGCCUGUUGUUUGGUGCAGGACUCCUAGCUAUCCUUUACACGAGGUGCAACAGGAAGCAAAAGAAAGCAGAAGAUGACAACAGUGAAAUCUGAUCUGGUGCCUGUCAAACUGGUUUUGGGCCCAGAAGAAGCGUUGACAUGCAAGGGGUGGAGAGAGAGUUGGUGGUUUGGUGGGGGGUUUGGAGGAGACACACCCUCUCAGGUGAUUUAACCUGAGCGGUCCUGUGCAAAGAGUAACAGUUUUUUGUGUGUGUGUGAAAAGAAAAGCAGAUAAAGAAAAUCAAGCCCUCUUAAGUCUUCAAAAUGUAUUCCUGUUGGUCAGAUCUGUACUGAUAUGCAAAUGAUGUUCAUUUUUAUUCAUGUAGAUGCUUAUCCCUGUAAACACACAAGUACUGGUACACUAUUUUACAUAUCCAUAUAUUCUGCUUUGUGUAGUCAUCACCAUAAUAUUGCAUAAAGCCAAUGAAAGAUGACAUCCUUAGGAGCAUGUGGUGUUAAUUGCAUAAUAAACUGUAGUAAGAUUAUCCAUGUGGUCAACCAUUUCAAUAUUUACAUUUCUACACCAACAAUUUGUUAGAAACCUUAAGUGUGCACGUGUACAAUUAAAAUAAAUGUCACUAUGUCAAAACCAAA